CUACGGGAUGCUGCAGUGGGGAAUAUUGGACAAUGGGGGAAACCCUGAUCCAGCAAUGCCGCGUGUGUGAAGAAGGCCUGCGGGUUGUAAAGCACUUUCGGUUGGGAGGACUGCUUCUAGCACUAAUAUUGUUGGAAGUUGACGUUACCUUCAGAAGAAGCACCGGCUAACUCCGUGCCAGCAGCCGCGGUAAUACGGAGGGUGCAAGCGUUAAUCGGAAUUACUGGGCGUAAAGCGCGCGGAGGCGGCUAGAUCAGUCGGGUGUGAAAGCCCCGGGCUUAACCUGGGAACUGCAUCCGAUACUGUCUAGCUUGAGUACAGGAGAGGAGAGUGGAAUUCCACAUGUAGCGGUGAAAUGCGUAGAUAUGUGGAGGAACACUAAUGGCGAAGGCAGCUCUCUGGCCUGAUACUGACGCUGAGGUGUGAAAGCGUGGGGAGCAAACAGGAUUAGAUACCCCGGUAGUC
Molecule: ribosomal RNA, 465 nt
Filed under: uncultured bacterium
Lineage: Bacteria
Description: partial 16S ribosomal RNA
Rfam family: Bacterial small subunit ribosomal RNA
Source: RNAcentral